Molecule: long non-coding RNA, 1011 nt
Organism: Mirounga angustirostris (Northern elephant seal)
Lineage: Eukaryota; Metazoa; Chordata; Mammalia; Carnivora; Phocidae
Exons: 3
Source: RefSeq, a predicted model, not a curated record
AGGCAUGGAGCUGCAGGUUCUGAGCAAGGGGUCUUUAGUACAGACCCACCUGGACAUCUCUGAAAAGGAAACACUGCUGUGAGAAACUUGCCACAGUGCAAACCGUCAGAAUGCUCAGAAUGCGGAAACGUGCUGAAACGGCCACAGCCCACCUUCAGCAGCCACCACCCUGAGCCGCCAGUGACCUGGAGGCAAGACCCUCCACCGGCAGAAAGACCACCACUAGCUGAAGGCUCAGACGAUUGCAUUUUGAGCAGUGAGGUACUUUUAAAUGAAGUCUGUUGAGAGCGUAGGUCCGGUCACCCUCCAUCAGUCUACGCCUCCCAUCUCCACAUGUGAAAAGUGGUCAUUGAUCAGCCAGUUUGAGGCUAAAGAGCCGGCCUUGCACCCCCAGAUCCGUCCUCCAUCCUGACUGCACCCCAUUCACCAGCACCCUCCAGUAAGAGCUGACCGACCGGUCGUCCUGCACACAUUUGCUUGGUUUUCAUCUGGUUUUUACACGGCAUCCCUCCUCCUCGGUCUUCCCACUUCCAGAGGUGCGGUCUGGGCAUUCGUGACUUUCAGAAGCUCCCCAGCUGAUUCUGAUGUGCUGCUCGGGCAGGAGAAGGCAUACAAGCCUAAGCCAAGUGUAGCCGCUCGGGGCCGCAGGGUUAAGAAGUACAUGAGAAUGAAUGUACAUGUAGCACUGGGCCGGUAUACAGUAGGUGCUCAUUAAUGAUCAGAGUAGUAAGCACAUCAGAAACGAGUUGAAGUCAGUGUGUCCUGACUUAUCACUCCAGUGGCCCCUUUUCUUGUUGGCAUCCCAGCACACCCUCAGUACCUUAUUCGAGAAUUUUGUCUGGGUGCGGGUGAGCUCUCCUUUUGGGGGCAGCUACAGACUUGGGUCUUCGUGAAGGUGUGUGUUGUAGAUGUGUGAUGAGGACGGAUUUAUGUUUUAUCCGUUUAUAUUAAACAAUGUUUAACACCAUUUUUAAAUAAGUAGCUAUUUACUUUCCUUUUCAACCUAUUCAG